Molecule: ribosomal RNA, 483 nt
Filed under: uncultured bacterium
Lineage: Bacteria
Description: partial 16S ribosomal RNA
Rfam family: Bacterial small subunit ribosomal RNA
Source: RNAcentral
AUUGAACGCUGGCGGCAGGCCUAACACAUGCCAGUCGAGCGGAUGAAGGGAGCUUGCUCCUGGAUUCAGCGGCGGACGGGUGAGUAAUGCCUAGGAAUCUGCCUGGUAGUGGGGGAUAACGUCCGGAAACGGGCGCUAAUACCGCAUACGUCCUGAGGGAGAAAGUGGGGAUCUUCGGGCCUCACGCUAUCAGAUGAGCCUAGGUCGGAUUAGCUAGUUGGUGGGGUAAAGGCCUACCAAGGCGACGAUCCGUAACUGGUCUGAGAGGAUGAUCAGUCACACUGGAACUGAGACACGGUCCAGACUCCUACGGGAGGCAGCAGUGGGGAAUAUUGGACAAUGGGCGAAAGCCUGAUCCAGCCAUGCCGCGUGUGUGAAGAAGGUCUUCGGAUUGUAAAGCACUUUAAGUUGGGAGGAAGGGCAGUAAGUUAAUACCUUGCUGUUUUGACGUUACCAACAGAAUAAGCACCGGCUAACUUCGUG